This is a long non-coding RNA of Mycetomoellerius zeteki, 776 nucleotides long. RefSeq lists it as uncharacterized. The record is from RefSeq and is a predicted model, not a curated record. Lineage: Eukaryota; Metazoa; Arthropoda; Insecta; Hymenoptera; Formicidae. The transcript has 3 exons.
UCCAAAUCUUGUCAUUGAGCGAAGAAUUAUUAGAUUCUCUGUUAGCUUUCUUCUCAGAUUUUAUCCGUCGAACAGUGGAGAACACCUAAAUGCUUACAAUCAUAAAAAUGUACCAGGCUAUACCGAGCCGUAUGUAUUGUUGAUGAUGAAAAUAAACGUGUGGUAGAUCCAGAAUUCCACCAUUUUGCUGCCGAUCGAAAUUGCGAUCACGCGAGGCGCGAAAUCACUUAAACAGACGAGAAGCGAUUAACGGACGCGCUUUUCGUCACUCAUUCGGAAACUUAGGCCAAGAUUUAAACAUUAGUAUCGUGACAGUUUAAUAUCUACGCCUUGGCACGAGACGCGCAAAGCGCGCUAGCUACUAGAUCUUCAGUGAUGUUGAAACCCAGGCUUAUGACAUGCUCGGAUAAGCCGGUCGUAUAUUAUAACGGCAUUUAAUACCGUCCAUUGUUCUUUUCCCCUUGUCUUUAUUAUAAUAAUAAAUCCGGUAUAUCCACGCGCGAAGGGAGCGCGGAGCGCCACGUGUUCGAACCAGUGUCGUUUCUUAAUCAUGGCAGGAUCAAGCGGAUAGAAACUAAGGCUGAUACAAAUGAUCCGACGUGGAAGCUUACGAUAGCUCAACCCCACGCAAUUAAAGCUUCGUAACCGGAACACCUGUCGAACAUUCACGUUCUCGGUAUUCUAUCAUUGACAAGUUAUAGCACUCGUAUAGCUGUAAUAGAUUGAUGGGACGAGGCACGCCGUAAAAAUAGGAAAUAAAACUUACUAUACGAUCG